RNAcentral lists this ribosomal RNA (879 nucleotides) under Marinobacter sp. AU782. RNAcentral's name for it is "bacterial SSU rRNA". It matches the Rfam family "Bacterial small subunit ribosomal RNA", at positions 56 to 926 of the family's 1533-position model. Lineage: Bacteria; Pseudomonadati; Pseudomonadota; Gammaproteobacteria; Pseudomonadales; Marinobacteraceae. The record is from RNAcentral.
UGCAGUCGAGCGGUAACAGGGGGAGCUUGCUCCCCGCUGACGAGCGGCGGACGGGUGAGUAAUGCAUAGGAAACUGCCCAGUAGUGGGGGAUAGCCCGGGGAAACCCGGAUUAAUACCGCAUACGCCCUUUGGGGGAAAGCAGGGGAUCUUCGGACCUUGCGCUAUUGGAUGUGCCUAUGUCGGAUUAGCUAGUUGGUGGGGUAAGAGCCUACCAAGGCGACGAUCCGUAGCUGGUCUGAGAGGAUGAUCAGCCACAUCGGGACUGAGACACGGCCCGAACUCCUACGGGAGGCAGCAGUGGGGAAUAUUGGACAAUGGGGGCAACCCUGAUCCAGCCAUGCCGCGUGUGUGAAGAAGGCUUUCGGGUUGUAAAGCACUUUCAGUGAGGAGGAAAACCUUACGAUUAAUACUCGUGAAGCUUGACGUUACUCACAGAAGAAGCACCGGCUAACUCCGUGCCAGCAGCCGCGGUAAUACGGAGGGUGCAAGCGUUAAUCGGAAUUACUGGGCGUAAAGCGCGCGUAGGUGGUUUGAUAAGCGAGAUGUGAAAGCCCCGGGCUCAACCUGGGAACGGCAUUUCGAACUGUCAGGCUAGAGUAUGGUAGAGGAGUGUGGAAUUUCCUGUGUAGCGGUGAAAUGCGUAGAUAUAGGAAGGAACACCAGUGGCGAAGGCGGCACUCUGGACCAAUACUGACACUGAGGUGCGAAAGCGUGGGGGAGCAAACAGGAUUAGAUACCCUGGUAGUCCACGCUGUAAACGAUGUCAACUAGCCGUUGGGACUCUUGAAGUCUUAGUGGCGCAGCUAACGCACUAAGUUGACCGCCUGGGGAGUACGGCCGCAAGGUUAAAACUCAAAUGAAUUGACGGGGGCCCGCAC